ACAACAAUAGCCGUCGGUCUACCGAGCAACAUCACCAGCUCGGUGAAGGAUCUUUCCCACCGUCGU
This 66-nucleotide microRNA precursor is filed under the name Bombyx mori (domestic silkworm). RNAcentral describes it as "mir-2774 microRNA precursor family". It matches the Rfam family "mir-2774 microRNA precursor family". Lineage: Eukaryota; Metazoa; Arthropoda; Insecta; Lepidoptera; Bombycidae. The record is from Rfam by way of RNAcentral.